This 2910-nucleotide ribosomal RNA is filed under the name Erysipelotrichaceae bacterium. RNAcentral describes it as "23S ribosomal RNA". It matches the Rfam family "Bacterial large subunit ribosomal RNA". The record is from RNAcentral. Lineage: Bacteria; Bacillati; Bacillota; Erysipelotrichia; Erysipelotrichales; Erysipelotrichaceae.
AGUUAAGUUAAUAAGGGCGUACAGUGAAUGCCUUGGCACUAGUUGGCGAUGAAGGACGCGACUACCUGCGAAAAGCGACGGGGAGCUGGAUAGUGAGCUUUGAUCCGUUGAUAUCCGAAUGGGGGAACCCGGUAUGAGUAAUGUCAUAUCAUUCUGAGAUGAAACAAUAGUCUCAGAAAGAAACACCUAGGGAAUUGAAACAUCUUAGUACCUAGAGGAAAAGAAAGAUUUAAUCGAUUCCGUCAGUAGCGGCGAGCGAAAGCGGAACAGCCCAAACCAGGUCUUCGGAUCUGGGGUAUGGAGCGCGACAUGGAAUGAGUUGUUUAAUAGUAGAACUACCUGGAAAGGUAGGCCAUAGAAGGUGAGGAGCCCUGUAUACGAAUGUGUGAACAACCUCCUAGCGAUUUCCAGAGUACGGCGAGGCACGUGAAACCUUGUCGGAAGAUAUGCAGACCACUGCAAAAGGCUAAAUACACACUAGUGACCGAUAGUGAACCAGUACCGUGAGGGAAAGGUGAAAAGAACCCCGGGAGGGGAGUGAAAAGAAUCUGAAACUGUAUGCUUACAAAAAGUCAGAGGCCGUUAAAGGCUGAUGGCGUGCCUAUUGAAGAAUGAACCGGCGAGUUAUGAAGUCGUGCAAGGUUAAGCUGAAUAAGCGGAGCCGAAGUGAAAGCGAGCCUUAACAGGGCGUUUAGUACGAUAUCAUAGACCCGAAACCUGUCGAUCUAUCCAUGAGGAAGUUGAAGGUGGGGUAAGACCCACUGGAGGACUGAACCGACCCUCGUUGCAACGCUGGCGGAUCACUUGUGGAUAGGGGAGAAAUUCCAAUCGAGAUAGGAUAUAGCUGGUUCUCCCCGAAAUAGCUUUAGGGCUAGCGUCAAGGAACUACAUGGUGAAGGUAGAGCUACUGAAUGCAUGAUGGCCGUCUCAAGGCGGUACUGAAUGUAAUCAAACUCCGAAUUACAUCAUGCGUACCUUGGCAGUCAGACUGUGGGGGAUAAGCUCCAUGGUCAAAAGGAAAACAGUCCAGACCGUCGUUUAAGGUACCUAAAUUCAGGCUAAGUGUUAAAGGAUGUGGGAAUGCAUAGACAGCUAGAAUGUUGGCUCAGAAGCAGCCAUCAUUUAAAGAGUGCGUAAAAGCUCACUAGUCGAGUGCUCCUGCGCCGAAGAUUUACCGGGGCUAAAGCAUGAUACCGAAGACACGGAUUCGUACUUUGUACGAGUGGUAGGGGAGCGUUCUACUGGGGUUGAAGCCAUACCGAGAGGAGUGGUGGACUAAGUAGAAGUGAGUAUGCCGGUGUGAGUAACGCUUGAGGGUGAGAAUCCCUCACACCAAUAGACUAAGGUUUCCUGGGUAAAGGUCGUCUUCCCAGGGUUAGUCAGGACCUAAGGCGAGGUCGAAAGGCGUAGUCGAUGGACAUCAGGUUGAUAUUCCUGAACCUGCAAAUAUGUGAUGGAGUGACAGAGAGGGCUAACUGGUCCCGGUUAUUGGAUUCCGGGUCAAGCGAGGUACCCGUAAGAUAGGUAAAUCCGUCUUACACUAGGGGAAAACGUGACGAGGAGUGAACGGGGAAACCCUUGUAGCGAAGUCAGUGAUGCCAGCUUUCAAGAAAAGCUUCUAAACUUAAGUAUUUGUGGCCUGUACCGAGAACGGACACACGUGGUCAAGAUGAGUAUUCUAAGGUGAGCGAGAUAACUGUUGUUAAGGAACUCUGCAAAAUUACUUCGUAAGUUAGCAAGAAGAAGUGCUCCCGCAAGGGAGUCGCAGUGAAGAGGCCCAGGUAACUGUUUAGCAAAAACACAGCUCUAUGCUAAGCCGCAAGGCGACGUAUAUGGGGUGAUGCCUGCCCAGUGCUGGAAGGUUAAAAGGAGAGGUUAGUCGCAAGGCGAAGCUUUGAAUUGAAGCCCCAGUGAACGGCGGCCGUAACUAUAACGGUCCUAAGGUAGCGAAAUUCCUUGUCAGGUAAGUUCUGACGCGCACGAAUGGUAUAAUAAUCUGGGCGCUGUCUCGACAGCAGACUCGGUGAAAUCUUAAUGCCUGUGAAGAUGCAGGCUACCCGCAACUAGACGGAAAGACCCCAUGGAGCUUUACUAUAACUUAAUAUUGAUAGUUUGUAAUUUAUGCACAGGAUAGGUAGGAGACUUAGAAACUUCGGUUUUGGCCGGAUGGAGUCAACGUUGGGAUACUACUCUUAGAUUAUGGAUUAUCUAACUUACCCCCUCAUCGGCGGGAAGGACAGUGUUAGGCAGGUAGUUUGACUGGGGCGGUCGCCUCCCAAAAUGUAACGGAGGCGCCCCAAGGUACCCUCGAUAUGGUUGGAAAUCAUAUUAACGAGUGCAAAGGCAUAAGGGUGCUUGACUGCGAGACUUACAAGUCGAGCAGGGACGAAAGUCGGGCUUAGUGAUCCGGCGGUCCCGCGUGGAAGGGCCGUCGCUCAACGGAUAAAAGCUACCCUGGGGAUAACAGGCUGAUUCCAUCCAAGAGUUCACAUCGACGAUGGAGUUUGGCACCUCGAUGUCGGCUCAUCACAUCCUGGAGGGGAAGUACCUUCCAAGGGUUUGGCUGUUCGCCAAUUAAAGUGGUACGCGAGCUGGGUUCAAAACGUCGUGAGACAGUUUGGUCCCUAUCUGUUGUGGGCGUAGGAAGUUUGAGAGGAUCUGUCCUUAGUACGAGAGGACCGGGAUGGACAUAGCAAUGGUACACCAGUUGUUCCGCCAGGAGCAUAGCUGGGUAGCUACCUAUGGACGACAUAAACGCUGAAAGCAUCUAAGCGUGAAGGUCACCUCAAGAUUAGACUUCCCAUUCGCAAGAAGUAAGACCCCCGGAAAACCACCGGGUUGAUAGGCUGGAAAUGUACGUGCUGCGAGGCACUUAGUUGACCAGUACUAAUAGGUCGAGGACUUAAUUUC